This 1033-nucleotide long non-coding RNA is filed under the name Homo sapiens (human). RNAcentral's name for it is "HSALNT0310687". The record is from RNAcentral. Lineage: Eukaryota; Metazoa; Chordata; Mammalia; Primates; Hominidae.
GUCUGAGCUCACACUCUCCUUGGGUGGGUCUUGCUGCAGCUGCUAUGGGGGUUGGGGGUGAGGUUCCCAGGUCAACAGGGUUACAUUCUUAGGAGGAUUAUGAUGUUCUUUACUGUGUCAUGCAGGUUGACAGGGAAGUGGGGGAAAGCCGGCAGUCCCAGGCCUCACCCAGCUCCCACACAAUCUGAAGGGCCGGUCUCACUCCCACCAUGACCUCCACCCAACAGCACUGAGUCUGUUUCCACGUAGUGGGUGAGCAGGUCUGAGAACUUGCCCCAGGCUACCCACCUCCCAGCUGUGAAAGCAAAUAUGGCUUUUUUUUCUUCUCCCACCUGUGGAGUCUGCACACCAGAUUCAUGCCCUCCCUCGAGUUCUGGCUAGGAGGCUUCUCAGUCACUUCAAAUUGUUACAAAGUUCAGCUGGAGAUUUCCUUCUCCCUGUAGCCUUUCCCAAUGCCUCUGUCUGCCCUCCCAAAAGACCUCUGUGAGGCCAGGCAAAAACGGCUUGUUAGGGGACCCAGUGAGCUCCCAGUGCUUUUCCUGCUGCUUCUCCUAACACUGUAUGUUUCUUGGCUCUCUAAACUCACUCAGCUCCAGAUGCCUCUGAGUCAUUUAAAGUCAAUGGCCACAAUUUCCUUGGCAUUUUCUCCUCCCUUGGCUUCCAUAACAUUUCUUGAAGUCAUUUCUUUUACCUCUGUGGCUUUUUUUGUUACUUCUUUGCAAGUUUUGCCAGAACUGAAGAGGCCUUGCAAUUGUGAAGAGAAAAAUGCAGCAGUGAGUUGGAACUGACGACCAGAGAACAGUUGGGAGGGCAGUCAUGCUGGAUGUCAGCAGGGCAAUGAUGACAACCCCAACACCUUGGCACAAUGUAGCCCUUCUGGGACUAUGGGCACAAGUGAAACUGAAGUAGGGGGGAAGCCUGAAUCAACUGAGAUUAAUUUUUCACACCUAGGGAAACGGGAACUCAAAAUUAAAAUUAAAUUUAGUUGUGAAAAUACAAUUACGUUGUAUCUUGGCAAAUCUCAGAUUAUGCG